This 369-nucleotide ribosomal RNA is filed under the name Triticum aestivum (bread wheat). RNAcentral's name for it is "partial small subunit ribosomal RNA". The record is from RNAcentral. Lineage: Eukaryota; Viridiplantae; Streptophyta; Magnoliopsida; Poales; Poaceae.
AUGUUUUUCCCUAUGCAUUCUCUGCUUAUGUUUAUAUUUUAUAUCACAAUUUUUUUAAUUACACAUAUUUGUAUGUGGGCUUUCUCUUUCCUAAUGUUUUUCCCUACGCAUUCUCUGCUUAUGUUUAUAUUUUAUAUCACAAUUUUUUUAAUUACACAUAUUUGUAUGUGUGAGAUUGGCAUGUUUCUCAUGUGUUCUAUGUUCUUUUUGGCUCUUCGUGACAGAGUGGUAGAGGUGCGACACCCAGCCAAGAGGAGGCUGCGUACAACUAAGAGCAAGGGAGAAACUUGGAGCGAUAAUUGGGACUAUUUUUCUUCUUGUCUAUUCACUGGCAUUGCUAGGCAUUAUAUGGCCAACUUACAAACUUAG